Molecule: long non-coding RNA, 1989 nt
Organism: Homo sapiens (human)
Lineage: Eukaryota; Metazoa; Chordata; Mammalia; Primates; Hominidae
Gene: ZNF542P
Product: zinc finger protein 542, pseudogene
Source: Ensembl
AGAAACCACCCGGGCGCAUACGCGGUGCGGCCGCUGCUUCAGGUCGGCGGGCUCCAGGGAGACCUGGGUGGGCAGCGUCGCCGUUUCUCCUUUCUUGGGCAGUAUUUUUCCCAGCGCCACGCGGAGGCUGGGCCAUUAUGAGCUCUGCAUUUCCAGGACCUGGUCACUAUUCAGGACACGGUUCCAGCGCAGUGCGCGUUAGCCAUGUCUCAGGGAUGAGUGACAUUCCAAGAUGUGGCCAUUGACUUCUCCAAGGAAGAGUGGGGAUUCCUGAACCCUGCUCAGAGAGAUUUGUACACAACUGUGAUGCUGGAGAAUUAUCAGAACCUGGUCUGGCUGGGACUUUCCAUUUCUAAAUCUGUGAUUUCACUGUUGGAGAAAAGGAAACUGCCUUGGAUAAUGGCAAAAGAAGAGAUAAGAGGCCCAUUGCCAGGAUAUUUCAAGGUGUCAGAGAUGACCAUCUCCCAGGAGCCAAAGGCAAAGACUAGAACUCUCUUUGGAAAAGAUGUGCCAGGUGCAGAGAUUAAGGAGUUAUCUGCAAAGAGGGCUAUUAAUGAAGUAUUAUCGCAGUUUGACACAGUGAUAAAAUGUACAAGAAACGUAUGUAAGGAAUGUGGAAAUCUAUACUGCCACAAUAUGCAGCUUACUCUCCAUAAGAGAAAUCAUACACAAAAGAAAUGCAAUCAGUGUUUAGAUUGUGGGAAAUACUUCACUCGUCAAUCAACUCUCAUUCAGCAUCAAAGAAUCCACACGGGAGAGAGACCCUAUAAAUGUAACGAAUGUAUUAAAACCUUCAACCAGAGGGCACACCUUACCUAGCAUGAGAGAAUUCACACUGGUGAGAAACCUUACAAAUGUAAGGAAUGCAGGAAAACCUUCAGCCAGAUGACUCAUCUCACACAGCAUCAGACUACACAUACGAGAGAAAAGUUCCAUGAAUGCAGUGAAUGUGGAAAGGCCUUCAGCCGUGUCUCAGCUCUUAUAGAUCACCAGCGAAUUCAUAGUGGAGAAAAGCCGUAUGAAUGUAAGGAGUGUGGAAGAGCCUUCACUCAAAGUGCCCAGCUCAUUAGACAUCAGAAAACUCAUUCUGGAGAAAAACCCUAUGAGUGUAGUAAGUGUAAGAAAUCUUUUGUGCACCUGUCUUCCCUGAUUGAACAUUGGAGAAUUCACACUGGAGAAAAACCAUAUCAAUGUAAGGACUGCAAAAAGACCUUUUGUCGUGUGAUGCAGUUCACUCUGCACAGGAGAAUUCAUACUGGUGAAAAACCCUAUGAAUGCAAGGAAUGUGGAAAGUCCUUCAGCGCCCAUUCUUCUCUUGUUACUCAUAAGAGAACACACAGUGGAGAAAAACCGUAUAAAUGCAAGGAAUGUGGAAAAGCCUUCAGUGCGCACUCUUCCCUUGUUACUCAUAAGAGAACACACAGUGGAGAGAAACCCUAUACAUGCCAUGCCUGUGGGAAGGCCUUUAAUACUUCCUCCACACUUUGUCAACAUAAUAGAAUUCAUACUGGUGAAAAACCCUUUCAGUGCAGUCAAUGCGGGAAGUCCUUUAGCUGCAGCUCUCACCUUACUCGACACUGUAGAAUGUGUAAUGGAAAAUUUAGCAAAUAACCAAAACUCAAAAUGUUAAUUCUGAUUAUUCUGUAUCAUCACCAGUACUUUGUACUUUGAGUCUUUUUAAAUAUGCUCUGUUAGUUUGUAUGGAAUGAUAUUUCAUUGCACUUUUAAUUUAACUUAAAAAUGCCUUCCCUUGACUGUUGAUAUGUAUUUUUUGUGAAGUGUGUGUUGAAGCCUUGCAGAUUAUUUUUUAAAUUAGAGGUUUAUCACUAGGUAUAUCUCCUAAUGCUAUCCCUCCCCCCUCCCCCUAAUGUAAAUGACGAGUUAAUGGUGCAGCACACCAACAUGGCACAUGUAUACAUAUGUAACAAACCUGCACGUUGUGCACAUGGUACCCUAAAACUUAAAGUAUAAUUAAAAAAAAAAAUUAGA